AAGGAAGUAAGACCCCUGAAAGACGAUCAGGUAGAUAGGCUGGAAGUGGAAGUCUAGUGAUAGAUGGAGCGGACCAGUACUAAUCGGUCGAGGACUUAACCAA
Non-coding RNA from Atopostipes suicloacalis DSM 15692, 103 nucleotides. The record is from Rfam. NCBI's taxonomy places the organism in Bacteria, Bacillati, Bacillota, Bacilli, Lactobacillales, Carnobacteriaceae.